UCGGGUCAUUGGCAAGAUCGAACAAAGCGGUUCAUAGCUCACUAUGUCUUCCAAGCAACGAUUCAUACUAUCUGGAGGAAACGUAACAAUCGGCGGCAUGGCGAACAACCAAAUCCACCGGUGCGUUUAAUCCGAUGGAUAGACAAGCAAGUAAGAGAUCGACUUUCUUCACUGAACACAAGCGGAGAAAGAAGACAUGAGACGGGACUUCAAAUUUGGUUUGCAACAAGAAAUUUAUACUAGUUUCUUUGAUCUAAAAUGUAUUUAGCCUUUUUCAAACUCACGUUGCACUUGUUGUACAAAAGACAUUUUUCUUUUGAAUCUAAUUUAACAUUACAUUAAAAAAAA
This 348-nucleotide small RNA is filed under the name Arabidopsis thaliana (thale cress). RNAcentral describes it as "ATSL218750". Lineage: Eukaryota; Viridiplantae; Streptophyta; Magnoliopsida; Brassicales; Brassicaceae. The record is from RNAcentral.